Molecule: non-coding RNA, 615 nt
Organism: Ictidomys tridecemlineatus (thirteen-lined ground squirrel)
Lineage: Eukaryota; Metazoa; Chordata; Mammalia; Rodentia; Sciuridae
Source: RefSeq, a predicted model, not a curated record
GCCCUUCCUGGCAACAUCAAAAGCCUUUCCUACAACAAGGAGAUCCUUCCCUUCCCACUUGCUCUCAGGGUCUCCAGGAUCAGUGCCUGAUGCCUAUGAUACCCCCAGCACCCCAGGAAGAGGGCUCUGCUGGUGACAUGCUCUGCAAUAUUCAGUCCCUAAUUCACAUGGGAGGUAAGGAAGGGACAUGGUAAAUGUACCAUAUUCUCCAUCAUGAGCAGAGAACACACAAGUGUUACAUGAUCCCAAGCCUACAUCCUCAGUCCCAGAGUGAGCAGAAAGGAAGGAUGUGAAAGUCUCAGAUAUAUUAGAAAGGAUUAGAUAUUGCAACAAGAAAAAUCACUUCAAGUCCUUUGGAGCCAUCCUGAGAGUCACACCAAGACAACUGUGUGGAAGUACAACAAAGGGAGAAGUCACCCCACCCCCCCAGAGCUGCAGGGACAGCUCGGAGAUCAGCUUGAUGCACCUCCACCCACCACUUGCGGACUAGUUGGCUCAGCGAUUUGAGGGACUGGGGAAAGCUUACAUGUUUUUGGAGCUUACAUAUGGAUGCAAACACUGUUUUGUUCAUAAACAACUUAUAAACCAACUGUUACCAGUGUAAUAAAAAUUGAA